This 497-nucleotide ribosomal RNA is filed under the name uncultured bacterium. RNAcentral describes it as "partial 16S ribosomal RNA". It matches the Rfam family "Bacterial small subunit ribosomal RNA", at positions 28 to 507 of the family's 1533-position model. The record is from RNAcentral.
GAUGAACGCUGGCGGCGUGCCUAAUACAUGCAAGUCGAGCGAACGGACGAGAAGCUUGCUUUUCUGAUGUUAGCGGCGGACGUGUGAGUAACACGUGGAUAACCUACCUAUAAGACUGGGAUAACUUCGGGAAACCGGAGCUAAUACCGGAUAAUAUUUUGAACCGCAUGGUUCAAAAGUGAAAGACGGUCUUGCUGUCACUUCUAGAUGGUUCCGAGCUGCAUUAGCUAGUUGGUAAGGUAACGGCUUAUCAAGGCAACGAUGCAUAGCCGACCUGAGAGAGUGAUAGGCGACCCUAGAACGGGGACACGGACAAGGCGACUAAGGGAGGCAGCAGAAGGGAAUGUUCGGCAGUGGGGGAGAGCAUGACGGAGCAGGGGCGAGUGAGUGAUGAAGGUCUUGGGAGCGUAAAACUCUGUUAUGAGGGAAGAACAUAUGUGUAAGUAACUGUGCACAUAGUGACGGUAACGAAUAAAAAAGCAACGGCUAACUACGUG